CCUAUUUCUUGAACUUUUUCAUGUUUUAGCAGCUGCAGCUUAUUGGUGCAUUAUUGGCUGUAGGUGCGUUUUUCCACCUACAUUUUCAGUACCAAGAUUGUUGGAGCUGGGACUAUGAAUCCUCUGACAUUUCUAAGAAGAGAAGAAGUUCGUGACUUCAAUGACUUCAAUGACUGUGCUUAGUUUGUAAUUUGUAAUUCAAUAAGUUUCUGUAGUAAGAAGUUCUU
Coffea arabica (coffee) is the source of this 227-nucleotide non-coding RNA. Lineage: Eukaryota; Viridiplantae; Streptophyta; Magnoliopsida; Gentianales; Rubiaceae. The record is from RefSeq and is a predicted model, not a curated record.